This 74-nucleotide transfer RNA is filed under the name Theileria annulata. RNAcentral's name for it is "Thr transfer RNA (tgt)". It matches the Rfam family "tRNA". Rfam says of the family: Transfer RNA (tRNA) molecules are approximately 80 nucleotides in length. The record is from RNAcentral. Lineage: Eukaryota; Apicomplexa; Aconoidasida; Piroplasmida; Theileriidae.
AGCCACCUUAGCAUAGUGGUAGUGCAUCUGACUUGUAAUCAGAAGGUCGGGGGUUCGAUCCCCCCAGGUGGCUU